This 427-nucleotide ribosomal RNA is filed under the name uncultured bacterium. Its description in RNAcentral is "partial 16S ribosomal RNA". It matches the Rfam family "Bacterial small subunit ribosomal RNA", at positions 355 to 774 of the family's 1533-position model. The record is from RNAcentral.
UGGGGAAUAUUGAACAAUGGGCGCAAGCCUGAUGCAGCCAUGCCGCGUGUAUGAAGAAGGCCGUCGGGUUGUAAAGUACUUUCAGCGGGGAGGAAGGCGAUAAGGUUAAUAACCUUGUAGAUUGACGUUACCCGCAGAAGAAGCACCGGCUAACUCCGUGCCAGCAGCCGCGGUAAUACGGAGGGUGCAAGCGUUAAUCGGAAUUACUGGGCGUAAAGCGCACGCAGGCGGGCUGUCAAGUCGGAUGUGAAAUCCCCGGGCUCAACCUGGGAACUGCAUUCGAAACUGGCAGGCUAGAGUCUUGUAGAGGGGGGUAGAAUUCCAGGUGUAGCGGUGAAUUGCGUAGAGAUCUGGAGGAAUACCGGUGGCGAAGGCGGCCCCCUGGACAAAGACUGACGCUCAGGUGCGAAAGCGUGGGGAGCAAACA